RNAcentral lists this transfer RNA (87 nucleotides) under Treponema primitia. RNAcentral's name for it is "tRNA-Ser". It matches the Rfam family "tRNA". Rfam says of the family: Transfer RNA (tRNA) molecules are approximately 80 nucleotides in length. RNAcentral also lists the same sequence under 1 other name. The record is from RNAcentral. Lineage: Bacteria; Pseudomonadati; Spirochaetota; Spirochaetia; Treponematales; Treponemataceae.
GGAGCGGUGUCCGAGUGGCCGAAGGAGAUGGUUUCGAAAACCAUUGAACCCGCGAGGGUUCCGGGGGUUCGAAUCCCCCCUGCUCCG